GGUGAACGCUGGCGGUAGGCCUAACACAUGCAAGUCGAACGGCAGCACAGUAAGAGCUUGCUCUUACGGGUGGCGAGUGGCGGACGGGUGAGGAAUACAUCGGAAUCUACUUUUUCGUGGGGGAUAACGUAGGGAAACUUACGCUAAUACCGCAUACGACCUACGGGUGAAAGCAGGGGAUCUUCGGACCUUGCGCGAUUGAAUGAGCCGAUGUCGGAUUAGCUAGUUGGCGGGGUAAAGGCCCACCAAGGCGACGAUCCGUAGCUGGUCUGAGAGGAUGAUCAGCCACACUGGAACUGAGACACGGUCCAGACUCCUACGGGAGGCAGCAGUGGGGAAUAUUGGACAAUGGGCGCAAGCCUGAUCCAGCCAUACCGCGUGGGUGAAGAAGGCCUUCGGGUUGUAAAGCCCUUUUGUUGGGAAAGAAAAGCAGCAGGUUAAUACCCCGCUGUUCUGACGGUACCCAAAGAAUAAGCACCGGCUAACUUC
RNAcentral lists this ribosomal RNA (489 nucleotides) under uncultured bacterium. RNAcentral's name for it is "partial 16S ribosomal RNA". It matches the Rfam family "Bacterial small subunit ribosomal RNA", at positions 28 to 504 of the family's 1533-position model. The record is from RNAcentral.